CGUGACAGGAAAUGUGACAGGAAACAUGACAGGAGUUUCAGUAUGUCGUUAUUUUGGUGAAAUAACAACGAAAUGGAUGAGGUGGUGAGGACAGGGACUGCGAGAGGCUCUCAGUGUCAUUCUCUGCUGGGGACGUUUCAAGUGGCAAGGUCUCCAGAGAAAACCCCAACACUCUGAGACAUGCAGGAGCAUCAGAGGAGGACCUGAAUGAAGACAGGCACACAGACCAGCGCUGCAU
Hypomesus transpacificus is the source of this 238-nucleotide long non-coding RNA. RefSeq lists it as uncharacterized. Lineage: Eukaryota; Metazoa; Chordata; Actinopteri; Osmeriformes; Osmeridae. The transcript is spliced from 3 exons. The record is from RefSeq and is a predicted model, not a curated record.